GAUGAACGCUAGCUACAGGCUUAACACAUGCAAGUUGAGGGGCAGCAGGGAUUUAGCUUGCUAAAUCCGCUGGCGACCGGCGCACGGGUGCGUAACGCGUAUCCAACCUUCCCGUUACUCCGGGAUAGCCUUCCGAAAGGGAGAUUAAUACCGGAUGGUGUUCAAUUGGUGCAUAUUAUUUGAACUAAAGAUUUAUCGGUAGCGGAUGGGGAUGCGUACCAUUAGAUAGUAGGCGGGGUAACGGCCCGACCUAGUCCACGAUGGUUAGGGGUUCUGAGAGGAAGGUCCCCCCANACUGGAACUGAGACACGGUCCAGACUCCUACGGGA
RNAcentral lists this ribosomal RNA (329 nucleotides) under uncultured bacterium. Its description in RNAcentral is "bacterial SSU rRNA". It matches the Rfam family "Bacterial small subunit ribosomal RNA", at positions 28 to 346 of the family's 1533-position model. The record is from RNAcentral.